This 403-nucleotide unclassified non-coding RNA is filed under the name uncultured fungus. Its description in RNAcentral is "partial contains internal transcribed spacer 2 and large subunit ribosomal RNA". The record is from RNAcentral. Lineage: Eukaryota; Fungi.
AACGCAAAUGGCGCUUUUGAUUUCUCAAAAGCAUGUCUGUCUGAGAGUCGAUAAAACACCUCUUUCUUUCAUCUUUAUGGUGAAUAGAAAGGAAAUGAGGGAGAAUCGCAAUACAUCUCGUUUUGUAUUGAGUCCCUUUAAAUGAAAGGAUAAAUGGAAAGACAUAAACUUCAUAUAUCAUCCAAACAUAUAUGAUAAUCCUCACCCAAAGUGAGACAACAUUAUUGAUGUUUCAUUAGUAAGUUUGGCCAUUUGAAAUAUGUGUGCGGCAAGUGUGUAUAUGUUGUGGUUUUUCAACAUUUCAACCACCACAUGUGAAAACACUUUCGCGAGUGUUUCCUCAUACCUUUUUAUCAUCUCAAACUCCGACCUCAGAUCAGACAAGACUACCCGCUGAAUUUAA